RNAcentral lists this ribosomal RNA (659 nucleotides) under uncultured bacterium. RNAcentral's name for it is "bacterial SSU rRNA". The stretch from base 1 to 558 matches the Rfam family "Bacterial small subunit ribosomal RNA", at positions 338 to 873 of the family's 1533-position model. The record is from RNAcentral.
CCUACGGGAGGCAGCAGUGGGGAAUUUUGGACAAUGGGCGAAAGCCUGAUCCAGCCAUGCCGCGUGCAGGAUGAAGGCCUUCGGGUUGUAAACUGCUUUUGUACGGAACGAAAAGGUCUUUUCUAAUAAAGAAGGCUCAUGACGGUACCGUAAGAAUAAGCACCGGCUAACUACGUGCCAGCAGCCGCGGUAAUACGUAGGGUGCGAGCGUUAAUCGGAAUUACUGGGCGUAAAGCGUGCGCAGGCGGUUAUAUAAGACAGUUGUGAAAUCCCGGGCUCAACCUGGAACUGCAUCUGUGACUGUAUAGCUAGAGUACGGUAGAGGGGGAUGGAAUUCCGCGUGUAGCAGUGAAAUGCGUAGAUAUGNGAGAACGACGAUGCGAAGGACAACUCCCUCGACCUCGUACUGACGCUCAUGCACGAAAGACGGUGGGGAGGCAAACAAGAGUAGUAUACCUACGGUAGUCCACCGACCCUAAACCGAAUAGUCAACUAGGUUGGUUUGGGUUCGUUCUACUGACUCAGUAACGAAAGACUAACGACGUGAGUUAGACCGCCGNGGGGAGGUACGGGCCGGCGAAGGUUAGUUAAAGUUAAAAUUAAGUUAAAGUUAGUAGGCGUUGAGAGUUGCCGAACGGACGACGACGAGGGAGGAGGNG